CCUACGGGUGGCAGCAGUGAGGAAUAUUGGUCAAUGGACGAGAGUCUGAACCAGCCAAGUAGCGUGAAGGAUGACUGCCCUAUGGGUUGUAAACUUCUUUUAUAAAGGAAUAAAACGAGGCACGUGUGCCUUUUUGCAUGUACUUUAUGAAUAAGGAUCGGCUAACUACGUGCCAGAAGCCGCGGUAAUAAGGAGGAUCCGAGCGUUAUCCGGAUUGAUUGGGUUUAAAGGGAGCGUAGAUGGGUUGUUAAGUCAGUUGUGAAAGUUUGCGGCUCAACCGUAAAAUUGCAAUUGAUACUGGCAGUCUUGAGUACAGUUGAGGUAGGCGGAAUUCGUGGUGUAGCGGUGAAAUGCUUAGAUAUCACGAAGAACCCCGAUUGCGAAGGCAGCUUACUAAACUGUGACUGACAUUGAUGCUCGAAAGUGUGGGUAUCAAACAGGAUUAGAUACCCCUGUAGUC
This 460-nucleotide ribosomal RNA is filed under the name uncultured bacterium. RNAcentral's name for it is "partial 16S ribosomal RNA". It matches the Rfam family "Bacterial small subunit ribosomal RNA", at positions 338 to 795 of the family's 1533-position model. The record is from RNAcentral.